RNAcentral lists this ribosomal RNA (490 nucleotides) under uncultured bacterium. RNAcentral describes it as "partial 16S ribosomal RNA". It matches the Rfam family "Bacterial small subunit ribosomal RNA", at positions 30 to 507 of the family's 1533-position model. The record is from RNAcentral.
AUUGAACGCUGGCGGCAGGCCUAACACAUGCAAGUCGAACGGUAACAGGAAGAAGCUUGCUUCUUAGCUGACGAGUGGCGGACGGGUGAGUAAUGUCUGGGAAACUGCCUGAUGGAGGGGGAUAACUACUGGAAACGGUAGCUAAUACCGCAUAACGUCGCAAGACCAAAGAGGGGGACCUUCGGGCCUCUUGCCAUCGGAUGUGCCCAGAUGGGAUUAGCUAGUAGGUGGGGUAACGGCUCACCUAGGCGACGAUCCCGAGCUGGUCUGAGAGGAUGACCAGCCACACUGGAACUGAGACACGGUCCAGACUCCUACGGGAGGCAGCAGUGGGGAAUAUUGCACAAUGGGCGCAAGCCUGAUGCAGCCAUGCCGCGUGUAUGAAGAAGGCCUUCGGGUUGUAAAGUACUUUCAGCGGGGAGGAAGGGAGUAAAGUUAAUACCUUUACUCAUUGACGUUACCCGCAGAAGAAGCACCGGCUAACUCCGUG